Molecule: long non-coding RNA, 504 nt
Organism: Xiphophorus couchianus (Monterrey platyfish)
Lineage: Eukaryota; Metazoa; Chordata; Actinopteri; Cyprinodontiformes; Poeciliidae
Exons: 4
Source: RefSeq, a predicted model, not a curated record
ACUUCUGUCAAAUGCCAAGUAAUUAAAUGUGAACUGAAUCUGGCAUCAAUCCCUGGGACAACCCACGACCCUCCAUACAAAAACAUGUUUUUACCUGGAGAAAUAGUGAGAGUCACAUGUGGGGAGAAUCACUGGAUUCUGGACACGCAAACAACGGUGGCUGAUGUUACAUGUGGAAUCAAUGGAGACUGGAAUACGGAUCCGAUAUGCCAAGAGGUUACAUGCCCACGAUACAUACAAGAAGCACAUUUGUAUCGUUCUGUUAACGCUUGGGGCAAAAAUGUGACAACAACUACGAUCCUGCAAGUUCAGACAGCAUAGCGACGUGUACCAGAGACGGAUGGAUACCGAAACCAUUUUGUCGUGGGAGACAGUGUGAAAACCCUAACGUUGAAUACUCCAGAAUUACCAGCAGUAGUAGAAGAAAUUACUACGACGGUGACCGACUCACAUAUGAAUGUUUGGGAGGGAAUCAGGAAUCUGUUACCAUCACCUGUGUGCAAG